RNAcentral lists this ribosomal RNA (468 nucleotides) under uncultured bacterium. RNAcentral describes it as "partial 16S ribosomal RNA". It matches the Rfam family "Bacterial small subunit ribosomal RNA", at positions 28 to 507 of the family's 1533-position model. The record is from RNAcentral.
GACGAACGCUGGCGGCGUGCUUAACACAUGCAAGUCGAACGGAAAGGCCCUGCUUUUGUGGGGGGCUCGAGUGGCGAACGGGUGAGUAACACGUGAGUAACCUGCCCUUGACUUUGGGAUAACUUCAGGAAACUGGGGCUAAUACCGGAUAGGAGCUCCCGCUGCAUGGUGGGGGGUGGAAAGUUUCGGCGGUUGGGGAUGGACUCGCGGCUUAUCAGCUUGUUGGUGGGGUAGUGGCUUACCAAGGCUUUGACGGGUAGCCGGCCUGAGAGGGUGACCGGCCACAUUGGGACUGAGAUACGGCCCAGACUCCUACGGGAGGCAGCAGUGGGGAAUAUUGCACAAUGGGCGGAAGCCUGAUGCAGCAACGCCGCGUGCGGGAUGACGGCCUUCGGGUUGUAAACCGCUUUCGCCUGUGACGAAGCGUGAGUGACGGUAAUGGGUAAAGAAGCACCGGCUAACUACGUG